GACGAACGCUGGCGGCGCGCUUAACACAUGCAAGUCGAACGGAAAGGCCUGCUUUCCCUUGUGGAUUGCGGGUACUCGAGUGGCGAACGGGUGAGUAACACGUGAGUGAUCUGCCCCCAACUUGGGUAUAAGCCUGGGAAACUGGGUCUAAUUCCCGAUAGGACUGCAGGGUGGUGCCUGUGGUGGAAAACGAUUUUCUAGUGGUUGGGGAUGAGCUCGCGGCCUAUCAGCUUGUUGGUGGGGUAAUGGCCUACCAAGGCGGCGACGGGUAGCCGGCGUGAGAGGGUGGACGGCCACAUUGGGACUGAGAUACGGCCCAGACUCCUACGGGAGGCAGCAGUGGGGAAUAUUGCACAAUGGGCGGAAGCCUGAUGCAGCGACGCCGCGUGGGGGAUGACGGCCUUCGGGUUGUAAACUCCUUUCGACCGCGAGGAAGCCACCUGGUUGGAAGGGUGGUGACGGUAGUGGUAGAAGAAGCACCGGCUAACUACGUG
RNAcentral lists this ribosomal RNA (494 nucleotides) under uncultured bacterium. RNAcentral describes it as "partial 16S ribosomal RNA". It matches the Rfam family "Bacterial small subunit ribosomal RNA", at positions 28 to 507 of the family's 1533-position model. The record is from RNAcentral.